GACAACUACAUCAACAACGACUACGCCAACAACUACACCGACAACUACACCAACGACUACGCCGACAACGACUACACCAACAACUACUACGCCGGCAACAACUACACCGACGACUAUUACACCAACAACAACCACACCAACAACGACACCAACGACAACAACCAAACCAACUACAACGACGACAACACCAACAUCAACAAUGCCAACAGCAUCGACAGGUUUACCAACAUUCGCAGCCACUGGGACGAGUGAAAACAUCACAACAUUUAAAACUUCAAACAAGACGGCAGCCACAUCAACCACACCGAAAGUCGGAGAUGGGUCUGGAGGCGCAACAAUCCACGGCUUGCUACCAGUCUAUUUGAUGAUGUCCGCCAUCUUGAUUCAAGCGAGAUUCUGAACAUGUUCUUAUGUAACUCAUCUCAGCACAGUCAUAAUAGUCGCGGUUAACUAAAGUUUUUAAAAAGUUCAAAAGUUUUGUUUAACGACACCACUAGAGCACAUUGAUUUAUCAAUCAUCGGCUAUUGGAUGUCAGACAUUUGGUAUUUGUUGACAAGAGGUCUUUGAGGAAACCCUCUGCAUUUUUUCUUUUCUUUUUUUUAGCAACAAUGGAUCUUUUAAAUGCAUUUCCCACAGGACAGCAUAUACCAUAACCUUUGAUAUACCAGUCGUUGGGUACUGGUUGGGAAAGGUUUAACUGUGGAAUUUAUAUUUUGUUAUGCGCAAAUAUUUAUUAUGCUGUUCACUGCCAAUAGCUGUUGGCUAUUUAACGGAUAGUAUCAGGAGUGAUCCCUGUCUGUCCCUGUACCGUCAGUAGGGCCGUUUUCAAUGUUCACGGUUUCUGGCGCGGGCGCGGGCGCGGAACGUAGAAAACGGACGCAUUAAAAAAAGCAUUCCUCUGCUUAUCGAUCUCAGUGUUUCCAAUGCAUGACACAAAUUGAAAACGCAUCCAGUUUGAUAGGUCUAUCACAUAUUUUCACAGAUUAAAUGUUAAAAUUAUUUCUGUUGAUGAUGAUGAUGAUGAUGAUGUUGAUGAUGAUGAGACUGAUGAUACCGACAGUGAAGAUGGUGGCGAUGAUGUUACUGUUGAUGAAGAUGAUGUCCUAACUUAAUUACUUUCGUUACUACAACUGAAGUGGUGGGAAUCGGUUGGGAUUUCAUCAUCGAUUAUAAUCGAUUGGCGCUGGCGCCGACCGAUCAACUUUCGAUUACACAAUCGCUUACAAUUAGAUCAGUAUAAAAAGGAUUUGAAUUAUAAGGACCAUAUACCUUUCUUCAUGUUCACCGGGAUCUAAGCCCUACAAAUGGCUAAUAUUACGUACCUUUAAUACCAGUUUUCAUUCUCUAUGUACACAGGAAAACACACACAAAGUCCAACAUAUUCAGUUCCAUCAUCUCCACCACCCAUCACACUACAGGUGGAAAUCCUACCAAUUGGUUUUCUCUACUGGUUAAAAUGUGAUAGCCUGUCACGCGGCACUAAGAAAGAAAAGGUAAGAAAUGACAAAAUACCCCACCCCCACCCCCACCCCAAAGAAAUAACCACUGGAAAUCAACUUGGAAUGCUGGUUCAAUUAGAAAAUUAAUAUUAUUAUUACUAUUAUUAUUAUUAUUAUUAUUAUUAUUACUUGUCACUGUUAAGUAAAUUAUCGCAUCUUUGAUAUUGUAUUUGUUUGGACUUUAUUGAAAAGUCUGACGCCAUAUAAUCGUAAAUAAAAUGUGUUGAGUGCGUCGUUAAAUAAAA
This is a long non-coding RNA of Gigantopelta aegis, 1745 nucleotides long. RefSeq lists it as uncharacterized. The record is from RefSeq and is a predicted model, not a curated record. The transcript is spliced from 2 exons. NCBI's taxonomy places the organism in Eukaryota, Metazoa, Mollusca, Gastropoda, Neomphalida, Peltospiridae.